This is a non-coding RNA of Planctomycetes bacterium SM23_25, 76 nucleotides long. Lineage: Bacteria; Pseudomonadati; Planctomycetota. The record is from Rfam.
CGGGGCGUGGCGCAGCUUGGUUUAGCGUGCUUGACUGGGGGUCAAGAGGUCGUGGGUUCAAAUCCCACCGCCCCGA